Calycina marina is the source of this 85-nucleotide non-coding RNA. NCBI's taxonomy places the organism in Eukaryota, Fungi, Ascomycota, Leotiomycetes, Helotiales, Pezizellaceae. The record is from the annotation of a GenBank genome assembly.
GGUUGUAUGGUGUAAAGGCUAGCACGUUUGGUUUUGACAUGUUCUGAACCUCCAGAAGAUCUGGGUUCGAUUCCCAGUACGACCU